This 572-nucleotide ribosomal RNA is filed under the name Saccharomyces cerevisiae (brewer's yeast). RNAcentral's name for it is "partial large subunit ribosomal RNA". It matches the Rfam family "Eukaryotic large subunit ribosomal RNA", at positions 62 to 648 of the family's 3401-position model. The record is from RNAcentral. Lineage: Eukaryota; Fungi; Ascomycota; Saccharomycetes; Saccharomycetales; Saccharomycetaceae.
AAACCAACCGGGAUUGCCUUAGUAACGGCGAGUGAAGCGGCAAAAGCUCAAAUUUGAAAUCUGGUACCUUCGGUGCCCGAGUUGUAAUUUGGAGAGGGCAACUUUGGGGCCGUUCCUUGUCUAUGUUCCUUGGAACAGGACGUCAUAGAGGGUGAGAAUCCCGUGUGGCGAGGAGUGCGGUUCUUUGUAAAGUGCCUUCGAAGAGUCGAGUUGUUUGGGAAUGCAGCUCUAAGUGGGUGGUAAAUUCCAUCUAAAGCUAAAUAUUGGCGAGAGACCGAUAGCGAACAAGUACAGUGAUGGAAAGAUGAAAAGAACUUUGAAAAGAGAGUGAAAAAGUACGUGAAAUUGUUGAAAGGGAAGGGCAUUUGAUCAGACAUGGUGUUUUGUGCCCUCUGCUCCUUGUGGGUAGGGGAAUCUCGCAUUUCACUGGGCCAGCAUCAGUUUUGGUGGCAGGAUAAAUCCAUAGGAAUGUAGCUUGCCUCGGUAAGUAUUAUAGCCUGUGGGAAUACUGCCAGCUGGGACUGAGGUCUGCGACGUAAGUCAAGGAUGCUGGCAUAAUGGUUAUAUGCCGC